Nothobranchius furzeri (turquoise killifish) is the source of this 1004-nucleotide non-coding RNA. Lineage: Eukaryota; Metazoa; Chordata; Actinopteri; Cyprinodontiformes; Nothobranchiidae. The record is from RefSeq and is a predicted model, not a curated record.
CAAGGAGUUAUGGUUUGCUGUCCGGAGUUCCUGCACCGUCAACAGAGGAACUUCUACAACACCUACGGACUUGCGGUGAUGGUAAAACUUUGCCACAGACAUAGGUGUUGGGGGAGGCAAGAGAAAACCCAAAACCUUCUUUAUUUUUGUUUCCUGUGUAUUUUUUUUUUUUGAAAAUAAAGAUAUAUUUUGGGGAAAUAAGGACUAAUAAUUUAAAAAUUUAUGUAAAAUGUUGGAGGUAGACAUAAUUUUUUGUUGUUGUGCAGGAGUUUUAAAAUUUAUGGUAUUUUUACAAAUGCAACACAGAGUUGUGCUUUAGAACACUUUAUUAGAGCAUCAAACAAAAAUAUAUAAAAACAAACUUAUAUAAAAUAUCAAAUAUAUACAUUUAUUUACAAUCGUCUUGGAAUAAAACCAGUGUAGUUACCAUUGGGGUCAGGGAAUUUUGCAGAAUAAACUCCUCCAUGUGUGGUACAGUUGAAAUACAUGUCUGGGGAGGCUGUUGGCAGCAUUUCUUUUCCAAAUCAGUUGGUAUAUCUCUGCAGUGGGAGCAUACACACCAUGAAGGUUGAUUGGGUGUUGGAGGUGUUGUGGCAGGUGGACCAGAGAGGGCAAGUACAUCAAAGAGAACACCAGUGUCUGUCCAGCACCAUGGUAAGGAUGUCAAUAGCCUGCUGAGGGUUCAGGUUCUGUAUGUGUUGCUACAAAAGUGGAAAGAGAUGCUACAGCAACAGUUUUUAGGAUAAUUUAGUGUAAUUUUGUUAUGCUUACACGUUCAAAGUAUUCGCUCGGAACAAAGAUUCCGAACUCGAGAGAGAUCUUCAUCUCCAAGGUCCACAGCUGAGUGUCUCACACUUCUUCGGCCUCUGGAUGCACCGCGGCCUCUGGAUGCACCACGGCUUUGAGAUGAUGGUGGGCAUCUCCUUUUUGCACCACGUCUUGAGGAUGCAAUAGGAGGUUCAAACUCUUCCUCAGAGGAUUCCUCAAUCACUGAACUCUAAAUU